GAUGGACGCUGGCGGCGUGCCUAAUACAUGCAAGUCGAGCGAACAGACGAGGAGCUUGCUCCUCUGACGUUAGCGGCGGACGGGUGAGUAACACGUGGAUAACCUACCUAUAAGACUGGGAUAACUUCGGGAAACCGGAGCUAAUACCGGAUAAUAUAUUGAACCGCAUGGUUCAAUAGUGAAAGACGGUUUUGCUGUCACUUAUAGAUGGAUCCGCGCCGCAUUAGCUAGUUGGUAAGGUAACGGCUUCCCAAGGCAACGAUGCGUAGCCGACCUGAGAGGGUGAUCGGCCACACUGGAACUGAGACACGGUCCAGACUCCUACGGGAGGCAGCAGUAGGGAAUCUUCCGCAAUGGGCGAAAGCUUGACGGAGCAACGCCGCGUGAGUGAUGAAGGUCUUCGGAUCGUAAAACUCUGUUAUUAGGGAAGAACAAAUGUGUAAGUAACUAUGCACGUCUUGACGGUACCUAAUCAGAAAGCCACGGCUAACUACGUG
Molecule: ribosomal RNA, 497 nt
Filed under: uncultured bacterium
Lineage: Bacteria
Description: partial 16S ribosomal RNA
Rfam family: Bacterial small subunit ribosomal RNA
Source: RNAcentral